Molecule: ribosomal RNA, 497 nt
Filed under: uncultured bacterium
Lineage: Bacteria
Description: partial 16S ribosomal RNA
Rfam family: Bacterial small subunit ribosomal RNA
Source: RNAcentral
GAUGAACGCUGGCGGCGUGCCUAAUACAUGCAAGUCGAGCGAACGGACGAGAAGCUUGCUUCUCUGAUGUUAGCGGCGGACGGGUGAGUAACACGUGGAUAACCUACCUAUAAGACUGGGAUAACUUCGGGAAACCGGAGCUAAUACCGGAUGAUAUUUUGAACCGCAUGGUUCAAAAGUGAAAGACGGUCUUGCUGUCACUUAUAGAUGGAUCCGCGCUGCAUUAGCUAGUUGGUAAGGUAACGGCUUACCAAGGCAACGAUGCAUAGCCGACCUGAGAGGGUGAUCGGCCACACUGGAACUGAGACACGGUCCAGACUCCUACGGGAGGCAGCAGUAGGGAAUCUUACGCAAUUGGCGAAAGCCUGACGGAGCAACGCCGCGUGAGUGAUGAAGGUCUUCGGAUCGUAAAACUCUGUUAUUAGGGAAGAACAUAUGUGUAAGUAACUGUGCACAUCUUGACGGUACCUAAUCAGAAAGCCACGGCUAACUACGUG